This is a long non-coding RNA of Pogona vitticeps (central bearded dragon), 1993 nucleotides long. RefSeq lists it as uncharacterized. NCBI's taxonomy places the organism in Eukaryota, Metazoa, Chordata, Lepidosauria, Squamata, Agamidae. The record is from RefSeq and is a predicted model, not a curated record.
UUUGUAUUUAUUCACAUUAACCACUGUACAAUAUCUUAUGACUGUCUAUCUAUUUCCUAUUACUUUUCUCUCUUAUCUUUUCUCUAACACACACCAGCUUUCCAGUCUCUGUCUUGACACUUCAAAACCUCCUCUCUAACCCUCUCAGUCUCCAACUGUUCUCCUGACUCCGCCCCUCCUGUCCUGCCAUAGUCUCCUGUCCUAGAGCUCCAUAUGUCGGACAGGCGUGACUUGGGCAUUGCGCCACAGCCAGAUACUAACCAGAAUCCAGUGUGCCUUUCUUUGGGUCCUUUUGCUUCUACCACUAUGGCAAUCUUCCCUUUGUCUUGCAGCUCCUGUACAUCCUAAUAUCUGUACUGGAAGGAUGGGGAAUCCUUUGGAGAGAUUCUUGCCACCACAGACAGCUGCCAGGGGGAGGCUCAGUUGUGCUGGUGCUGGGUACUGAAUUAAUGUUAGUUCUUGGUCAUUAUUGGCCACUUAUAAGAGUUGUAACUUUAAAAAAUGAUUCAUGAAGGACUGCCUCUGGCCUGCUGUGUCUGAUGAAAUGAACUAGUGUUCACAAAAGACAAAAUAGGGUAAGUGCUUUCAAGGCUGGGGUUAGGGAGUGUCAAAUCUCCCACUGAGUGGGAUGAUAAAACGUUCUGUCAAUAUACCAUGUUCAAAUUAGUAAAACUCCUUAAGAUAAGGGUGUGUGUGAGAAAACCAUGCUAGACUUUUAAAAAAAUAUGCAGUAACACUUCACUACUCAACUGAUGUUUUAUGCAUCAUAAAUUACUUUUUUCUUUUCUUCCCUUGUCCUUUUGAAUCAGAAUUUUGAACCCAAAUUGUGGAUCUACAUGAAUGAUUGAAAAUGAAAUUAACAGAAUGAAAUAGAAAUUAGAUUUUUAUGAGCAGCUGCUAUAAAAUUUACAAAGGAGUUGUGAUACCAGUUUACAUCACAAACAUGUGAGGGUUACUGAAAAAUCUGUAAGAAUAUUCUGAAGAAUUAUAUAUAAGUACUUGUUGUAGUCAGAACGUUAAACUCAGUCCUGCUGCCUUUCCCUUUAACGUAGUGUCCAUAUUUCUGAUGAUAUCCACAAUAUUGCCUGUCCUCAGAUCCUGUCGCCAUUAGCUGAAAUCGAUAGAUGUGAAGUCUGGUUGAAUGAUGCAUGCCUUGUGCUGGCUUCUCUUUGGAUGGUCUCGAGGAGAGAACAGAGGAAUGGAGAGGAACACCUGAGUCUGAGUGAUGAUGGUCAUAUUGCUUAUCCACCAAGCCACCCUGUUGUGUGUUUUCUUCUAUCCCAAGGGGAGCAGCACAUUCCAGUCAGGUUAGAGCUACAAUCAAAAGAUCCAAUUCUUCAACAAGAAGAUAGGUUUUCAAAGCAGAGCAGAGCAGAUCAACACAGAUGACGGCACAGAGCACCAGAAGCAAGAAAGCAGCAAGACCUCACAGACACAGAUGACAGCUGACUAGUUCAACACCAGCACCUGAGAUCAGCUGGUGAACUUUUUAUCAACAGAAAAUAUUUAUAAAUUAAGAUUUCUUUCACAUAAAAACUACCAAUGGGAGAAAAUGUCAAAAUAUUUGAGUUUAUGGGGUGCAGGGAGGUGCCCUAAAAAUGAAAAGGUCUUUUAAAAUAUGCCUCAGAAAAUGAAAGUUCAAUUGGAAAAGUGCUCUGUGAAGACAGUUUAUAUUACAAAACCAAAACAACUCACUCCUGAUAACAAGGCAGACGUAGCUUAUUCAGUUUCAUGCCAGUUUACACAAGAAAGAGUAAACAACAGAAAGCAAGCUGAUGACAGAUGACAUCAUGUGAAACAGAGACAAAAGAGAAAAAUAGAGUGCAACACAUGCUGCUUGUGUUGUGUUUUGCCUAUAAUGUUAAUUAGUAGAUGCCUCAAAAUAGAUGUGGAAACCUGAGAAUAAUAAUAAUAUUGUACAUUUGAAGUUUUUACAGAAUAAUGCAGAAGGAGAAAAAGAUGAAUGUUAUUUAAAGCUGUUUGUUUCAUGAUA